RNAcentral lists this ribosomal RNA (1255 nucleotides) under Clostridioides difficile. Its description in RNAcentral is "partial 23S ribosomal RNA". It matches the Rfam family "Bacterial large subunit ribosomal RNA", at positions 398 to 1661 of the family's 2925-position model. Lineage: Bacteria; Bacillati; Bacillota; Clostridia; Peptostreptococcales; Peptostreptococcaceae. The record is from RNAcentral.
AGAUAUGAUCCAGAGUACCACGGGACACGUGAAACCCUGUGGGAAGCAGGAGGGACCACCCUCCAAGGCUAAAUACUACCUAGUGACCGAUAGCGUAUAGUACCGUGAGGGAAAGGUGAAAAGAACCCCGGGAGGGGAGUGAAAUAGAACCUGAAACCCUGCACUUACAAGCUGUGGAAGCACAUUUCUUGUGUGACCGCGUACUUUUUGUAGAACGGGCCAACGAGUUACGUUAAGUAGCAAGGUUAAGCACUUAAGGUGCGGAGCCGUAGCGAAAGCGAGUUUUAACUGAGCGUUCAGUUACUUGACGUAGACCCGAAACCGGGCGACCUACCCAUGAGCAGGAUGAAGCGAAAGUAAAAUUUCGUGGAGGUCCGAACCCACGAGCGUUGAAAAGCUCGGGGAUGACUUGUGGGUAGCGGUGAAAUUCCAAUCGAGCCCGGAGAUAGCUGGUUCUCCCCGAAAUAGCUUUAGGGCUAGCCUCAAGGUGAGAGAUACGGAGGUAGAGCACUGAAUGUCCUAGGGGGUAUUGCACCUACCGAAGACUAUCAAACUCCGAAUGCCGUCAUCUUAUACUUGGGAGUCAGACUGUGGGUGAUAAGAUUCAUAGUCGAAAGGGCAACAGCCCAGAUCGUCAGCUAAGGUCCCUAAAUGUAAGUUAAGUGGUAAAGGAUGUGGGAUUGCACAGACAACCAGGAUGUUGGCUUAGAAGCAGCCACUCAUUCAAAGAGUGCGUAAUAGCUCACUGGUCGAGUGAUCCUGCGCCGAAGAUUUCCGGGGCUAAAACUUACUACCGAAGCUACGGCAUCAGUAAUGAUGGGUAGGGGAGCUUCCCAUACGGGUUGAAGCAUGACCGUAAGGACAUGUGGACAGUAUGGGAGUGAGAAUGUUGGCAUGAGUAGCGAGAUGUGGGUGAGAAUCCCACAGGCCGUAAACCCAAGGUUUCCAGGGGAAGGUUCGUCCGCCCUGGGUUAGUCGGGACCUAAGCUGAGGCCGAAAGGCGUAGGUGAUGGACAACAGGUUGAUAUUCCUGUACUACCGAUAACCGUUUGAGAGAAGGGAUGACACAGUAGGAUAAGCUAAGCACACUGUUGGUUAUGUGUGCCCAAGCAUUGAGGCAGUCAAAGUAGGCAAAUCCGCUUUGAUAAUGCUGGGAUGUGAUGGGGAGCGAAAUUUAGUAGCGAAGUAGCUGAUUUCACACUGUCAAGAAAAGUCUCUAUCGAGGUUAAAGGUACCCGUACCGCAAACCGACACA